This 412-nucleotide long non-coding RNA is filed under the name Paramuricea clavata. Lineage: Eukaryota; Metazoa; Cnidaria; Anthozoa; Malacalcyonacea; Plexauridae. The record is from RNAcentral.
CAAACUAUUAUCCUUGUCUCCAAUGCUAGUAAUAAUUGCACAGGAAAAGAUUUAGUAAAACCUAUCAUUUUUAGUUGCUGCUUAAUUAUGCAAGUUUACUAUGUUAUUGUUUAGUCGGUUUAAAUGUUAGAAUUUUCUUCUUUAAACUUUAAUGUUGUCGUCACUACAUCUGGAAAACCACGUAAGAACAAAUUAAAAGUAUUUUAAAAGAGACCAGGUUGUUUGAAAAUCCUAAACGAAUGCUAAAAAAUCGUCAAAACAUUCUGGUGUCUGAGCCAGAGUUUCAUCGAAUUGCGAUGUAAUGUAAACAGAAAUUAUAGCAAGUUGAUGUCAGUCAACUUAGAUGGUCCAAGCCAAAAUUAUAUCGCAUUUGAAGUUUCAAACUGAGUUAAAAAUAGUGGAAGAAAAGCCG